RNAcentral lists this ribosomal RNA (497 nucleotides) under uncultured bacterium. RNAcentral describes it as "bacterial SSU rRNA". It matches the Rfam family "Bacterial small subunit ribosomal RNA", at positions 28 to 520 of the family's 1533-position model. The record is from RNAcentral.
GAUGAACGCUAGCGGCGGGCCUAAUACAUGCAAGUUGAACGGGAUUGUUGGUAGCAAUAUUGACAUGAGAGUGGCGCACGGGUGCGUAACACGUAUGUAACCUACCUUUAACUGGGGCAUAGCUUCGAGAAAUCGAAAUUAAUACCCCAUAACAUUUAGAAAAGGCAUCUUUUCUUUAUCAAAGCUCAGGCGGUUAAGGAUGGACAUGCGGUGCAUUAGCUUGUUGGUGAGGUAACGGCUCACCAAGGCUACGAUGCAUAGGGGGUCUGAGAGGAUGAUCCCCCACACUGGUACUGAGACACGGACCAGACUCCUACGGGAGGCAGCAGUAGGGAAUAUUGGGCAAUGGACGAAAGUCUGACCCAGCCACGCCGCGUGAAGGAUGAAUGCCCUCUGGGUUGUAAACUUCUUUUGUAUGGGAAGAAAUUCCGAACGUGUUCGGAGCUGACGGUACCAUAAGAAUAAGCAUCGGACUAACUCCGUGCCAGCAGCCGCGG